AUUGAACGCUGGCGGCAGGCCUAACACAUGCAAGUCGAACGGUAACAGGCCUUCGGGCGCUGACGAGUGGCGGACGGGUGAGUAAGGUAUGGGGAUCUGCCUGAUGGAGGGGGAUAACCACUGGAAACGGUGGCUAAUACCGCGUAAUGUCGCAAGACCAAAGUGGGGGACCUUCGGGCCUCACGCCAUCAGAUGAACCCAUAUGGGAUUAGCUAGUAGGUGGGGUAAAGGCCUACCUAGGCGACGAUCUCUAACUGGUCUGAGAGGAUGACCAGUCACACUGGGACUGAGACACGGCCCAGACUCCUACGGGAGGCAGCAGUGGGGAAUAUUGGACAAUGGGGGCAACCCUGAUCCAGCCAUGCCGCGUGUGUGAAGAAGGUCUUCGGAUUGUAAAGCACUUUAAGUUGGGAGGAAGGGCAGUAAGUUAAUACCUUGCUGUUUUGACGUUACCAACAGAAUAAGCACCGGCUAACUUCGUGCCAGCAGCCGCAGUAACAC
This 501-nucleotide ribosomal RNA is filed under the name uncultured bacterium. Its description in RNAcentral is "bacterial SSU rRNA". It matches the Rfam family "Bacterial small subunit ribosomal RNA", at positions 30 to 526 of the family's 1533-position model. The record is from RNAcentral.